GCUUUCAGCACCGCAAAUGUCGUAAAAUGAAUGAUAGUCUUGCAUGGCUGCAACACUUCACGAUCGAUUGCGACCAAACUGCGGUUUCCAAAAGCGGCAUAGCUUGUAAUUCGCAACGCACGCGCUCAAGAUAAAAUCACAAACAAAAUAUCCGGCAAUCAACCGGUGGGCACGGGGCAUUUUAAUGGACGAACUCGUUGACGCUCUGGCUGCAAAAGCCGGCAU
Molecule: unclassified non-coding RNA, 225 nt
Filed under: Hevea brasiliensis (rubber tree)
Lineage: Eukaryota; Viridiplantae; Streptophyta; Magnoliopsida; Malpighiales; Euphorbiaceae
Source: RNAcentral